GGGUUGGUAGCAAACGCUGGCUUUGCAGCGGUCUCUUAAACCGCCUCGACGUGGGUUCGAUUCCCACCCGACCCA
This 75-nucleotide transfer RNA is filed under the name Kofleriaceae bacterium. RNAcentral's name for it is "tRNA-Lys". It matches the Rfam family "tRNA". Rfam says of the family: Transfer RNA (tRNA) molecules are approximately 80 nucleotides in length. Their secondary structure includes four short double-helical elements and three loops (D, anti-codon, and T loops). Lineage: Bacteria; Pseudomonadati; Myxococcota; Haliangiales; Kofleriaceae. The record is from RNAcentral.